GAAUAUUGGACAAUGGGCGCAAGCCCGAUCCAGCCAUGCCGCGUGAGUGCUGAAGGCCCUAGGGUUGUAAAGCUCUUUCCCCGGUGAAGAUAAUGACGGUAACCGGAGAAGACGUCCCGGCUAACUUCGUGCCAGCAGCCGCGGUAAUACGGUGGGGGCUAGCGUUGUUCGGAAUUACUGGGCGUAAAGCGAACGUAGGCGGAUCGGUCAGUUAGGGGUGAAAUCCAAGGGCUCAACCCUGGAACUGCCUUUAAUACUGCCGGGCUGGAGUUCGAGAGAGGUGAGUGGAAUUCCGGGUGUAGAGGUGAAAUUCGUAGAUAUUCGGAGGAACACCAGUGGCGAAGGCGGCUCACUGGCUCGAUACUGACGCUGAGGUGCGAAAGCGUGGGGAGCAAACA
This 398-nucleotide ribosomal RNA is filed under the name uncultured bacterium. RNAcentral describes it as "partial 16S ribosomal RNA". It matches the Rfam family "Bacterial small subunit ribosomal RNA", at positions 359 to 774 of the family's 1533-position model. The record is from RNAcentral.